ACAGUGCAUCCAGUCUAGAGAGUAGAAUACAAAAAUUGGUGAGUAGUUGUACUUAGAUGUAUCUCAAGAUUGGAACAUUUCUAAGAAAUUGUGCUGAUACCAUUGUAUAGGUAAAAGAAUAAGCUACAACAUGAUUCAAAAAUAUUUCCCCAAAAGUUGUUGUAGUGGGAAAUAAUUUUAGGAGAUAAUGGGGGUGAUCGUAAAAAAAUGUACGUAACAUCAAUUAUUUCUGGAACUAAAGUAUUUUUUAGAAAAAUUUUUCUUAUCAAAAGUUAGACAAUUUAUUCAAGCUUACUCCAUGUAAUUUUUAGACCUUAGCCGUGAGAUUUUCUUCAAAUCUCUCCCUAACCGAAACGGCACUAAAAACUAGCAAUUUUGAGCACUGCGGAGGAUGUGUAGAUAUUUAAGUAACAUCAAAUCUUUCAUAAGAUAGCCAAACUAUCUAUAGAUGUUGUGACAAAGUUCCAAACCUUAGCCGGAAACUGUUGGCCUUUUCUCUCCCUAACCGAUUACUCACUAUAACAAUUGGGUACUGUUUUAUUAAUCGCCACAAACCCACCACCUUAUGUUGUCAUGGAAACAAUUUUGGAUAUGUUGUAGCUUAUUCAUUCGCCUACACAAUGGUAUCAGCAGAUUUUCUUAGAAAUGUUCCAAUCAUAAGAUAUUUACAUUUAAGUACAACUACUCACACAUUUUUGGUAUUCUACUCUUUAGACUGGAUGCACUGUAUAUAUAUAUAUAUAAAUGAUUAUUCAAGUGACUAUUCUAUAGUUGUUAAAGAAUGAAACUUCUUGCAAAGCCGUGAGCCAGUGACUUAUUGUGGGAUCUAGUGCAUGUAUCAUGAGUCAUUAAACUUGAUGCAAUCAGUUGUGUCUGAGAUCAUGGGGUAUGUAGACUCGAUUCCAGUAUAGAGGUAUUUUAAUACACUGGAAACUUCAUCCAACAUUGCUGUAUACACACUCCAUAUUUGCGAACAAGUUUCAGAAUCAGCCCUAGCCUCGAUCCCAGGCCGAUCCGUCUCCAAUUGAACGCUAGGUCGCCUCCUCGGUCUGGUAUUGAUUGUAUCUGGGCGUGUAUCUGGGCGCGGCCGGGCAUGUGCUGUGGUUGCUGUGGUUGCUCAGGUAUUCGCUCAAAAAGAGCGAAUACCUGAGCAAGGUGGAGCGAAUAGAAACACUAAUUGGGGCGAGCGAAGCGAGUCCCUUAUAGUUAGUCAUGCACAUGGUCCGUGGUAUGUAUGUAUGUAUGUAUGUCCACCGUGGACCGGCAGGCCGGCAUGGACCGGCAUACGAUAUUUGUUUUUCUAACUCGUGAUCCUUUACCAAUUUCUACGUGAGUCAAUAACUUUAGCUCGAUAAAGAUAUGAAUAGCGACAAAACUAGCGAUAAGGAGGAACAGCUAAAAAGAGGGAACUUGCUAGACCCAGAGAAAGAUACAGGGCACACAGGAGCAGCAGGAAGUGAAGGUAACUGACUCAAACGGUUCUGCAGGUGUUUGCCUAACAUAAAUAAAUGUUGUGUAGAAAGUGCACAAGCCAGCAGAAAGUGGCCAAAUGUUCAUUACACUUACAGAGACUCCAGAGGCCACACAGGCACGCUUGAAGCAAUUAAUACAUGCAGGCAUAGGCAUACAGAGUGAAUCCCGACAUGCCUCUAUUCGAACAAUCUACUGUUCAAUCCAAGAUGCUGUUUAUAUCUGCAGUCAUGCCAAUAAUGUCCAUCUAUCGAUUACCACUUGGACAAUAUGAAUACGCAGGCCAUGUCAUCAACCUGCCACAAAAUGUGGUGUCAUUUGCACAAUAUCUUUCAGCAGAGUUGCAUGGAUGCGUCGCUUGCCCCAUGGCGCUUGCGUCACCCUAGUAGUGUAUGUAAGCAUAUUUACUCCGUAAAAUCACCGUUAAAUCACAAAGAACUCCGUGUCAUAGGUCUAUUCUUUGCAAGUUUAGAUUAGGCUUAGCUAGAGUGUGAGGAGCUGUCUUGUGCGAAGGAAGAAGGAGCAUCACUCUUAUGAAAGAACAGACCUAGGUUCUCAAGUUUCUGCAAUCAGUUGGCUACCUUUGAUUGACUACACAAUUUAAUACAAGCGCUUGAUUAGACCAUUGAUUGCCAGAUACACUUGUUAGAGUCUAUCCUCAGACUCUGGCCAUCGAUCUCUUGUAUACUAUGCACAGGGGUGUCCACAAGUGGCUGGGCCUGGGAUGUAUUGUCAAGCCUAUAUAGCCCCAAUCCUUGGUAUCUGGAUUAAGAUAUGACAUUACGGCACUGGAACUGGUGUUGUGUUAGCCUCCUUCACCGGCCUUCAAGGAAGUGCGGCCUGGGAUCGAGGCUAGUUUUGUGUGGACCAUCAAUGAGUAAAAUGGAACCUUCCCCUCCAACCCCUGUCGUACUCCUCCUAGCUGAUGUGUGUGAACUCAUUGAAAGAGGAUGCCCCAGUGCCACUCGUAUCCUUCCCAAGGGGCCGAUCUUAUAGAACUACCUGCACUAAAACUACUGACGUGGAAUGGCUCUUUCAACACUUAUGGUUGCUAUCCUGACCAGUGACGUCAGGAUUCUACAGUUUCUUGAUGCACUGUGAACACACAAUCUUUGUUAUGCCACCUGAAGGCUUAGCAGGCAUAUCCAACGCAGAAGUUUUUCUGGAAGCUCUUGUUUGAGAUCUUCGCUUCUAAACAUCUGCAUUUAUUAUGGACGCAGUACUACUCUACAGAGUAUUAACUUCUAGUGUCAUUAUAUCAUUAUAUCACUGUAUUUUUAGCCAACUGUUGAACUGAAGAUUUUACAGUACAUAGCAUUACUCUUGAUACUUACCAGUUUCGGUCACGCCCAGAUACAAUCAAUACCAGGCCGAGGAGGCGACUUAGCGUUCAAUUGGAGACAGAUCGGCCUGGGAUCGAGGCUAAAUCAGCCCAUGAUUCUGUAAAACCCUGUUAUCUGAUUUUUCCGGACCAUUGAAUUAGUGCACUCAAUACAUAGAAAUUCCAUGCAACCUACACAUUGUAUAGAGCUACUCUAGGAUUGAACAAGAUUAGGCAGGCUAACAACUUUUUAUUAAACAGUAAAAGUGGACCAUGAGUUAGAACACAAAGUGUGAUCAACAGACAGGAAACAAUAACGAAUAAGAUAUAAAUUCCAUGCAUACUAACCACAAACACACAUUUUGUACAUUAACUAUACUUGCGGCUAAUAACUAUACAGACAGCUUUCCUAUAGAGGUUGCCUAAUUGCUCCCUAAUUGAAGUGUUAUUUAUGUAAUGCAUGCCAUGAAUUUAAAAACAGCAUAUUUUAAAUUAAGCUUCCAUGUGAUAGUAUAGGAGGGUAAGUACACAUGCACAUCUGUCACAUGGGCCGAGCGAUAUACAUGCAUGGACAAAUUAUGAAAUCUCCCACAGUACAUGCUUUUACAGAUGAUCACUUUCACUGUACCUUAAAACCUGUUAUUCGAGCACUGACAUGUUUCUCCACAGAAAACGAGAUUGAUGCAUGGGGAGGCCUUCUUAGAGCUAACAUUAUAUAUACAGUCACUAUAAUAUAGUCCCUAACAAGCUAGGUAUAUGGUUAAGAAAACUUGCCGCCUGGUGAAGACUGCACUGCACUCUGCACUGGAGGUACCGUAAAGUAAUUUAAAGUAAAGGUGCCACAAAAUUCUCAUUAUAGAACGGUGAAAACACAUUAUCAGCCUCAAGUGCCAGUUUUUGCAACUGGUCCUAUUUAGAGUGUUAUACCUGACGGUAUAGACUAGCUCACUUAUAGCCAGUCCUACAUCCAGAAUUAAGGGAAGAGACCGGCAUGCAGAAUCUGGUUUCUGGUUCAUCUCUACAUUAUUUUUAAUUCAUAUACAUGCAUGGAUGUUGAGAGAUGUACACGAAAAUGUAUGCAUACAUGAUCUUAUAGGAGAAGGAAGUUAUAUUGAAUAAUUAUGUGCAACAUAAUC
Halichondria panicea is the source of this 3927-nucleotide long non-coding RNA. RefSeq lists it as uncharacterized. The record is from RefSeq and is a predicted model, not a curated record. Lineage: Eukaryota; Metazoa; Porifera; Demospongiae; Suberitida; Halichondriidae. The transcript has 3 exons.